This 211-nucleotide long non-coding RNA is filed under the name Phoenix dactylifera (date palm). RNAcentral describes it as "long non-coding RNA (PDAC_LNC020252)". The record is from RNAcentral. Lineage: Eukaryota; Viridiplantae; Streptophyta; Magnoliopsida; Arecales; Arecaceae.
AGAUUGCGCCCAGCCAAAAUCAACCGCCAGGGACACUUGGCAGGCAGCCCAGCAUCAGCGCCCAGCCAAGCAAGGAAAGCGCACGCGCAGAAUCAAAGGAGGAGCCGGUGGGCUCUUCCAUAGCGAUCCGGCAAGGAAGGACACCAGCGGCCAGGAUGCAGCAGGCCAAAGGAUGGACGCACAGAAGACAGUCAUGGCAGCAGUCCGUGGG